This 628-nucleotide ribosomal RNA is filed under the name Bacteroidetes bacterium enrichment culture clone WIP20m1H. RNAcentral describes it as "bacterial SSU rRNA". It matches the Rfam family "Bacterial small subunit ribosomal RNA", at positions 63 to 692 of the family's 1533-position model. Lineage: Bacteria; Pseudomonadati; Bacteroidota. The record is from RNAcentral.
CCAGCGGUAGGGACCUUCGGGUUCUGAGAGCGGCGCACGGGUGCGUAACGCGUAUGCAAUCUGCCUUAUGCAGGGGGAUAGCCCGGGGAAACCCGGAUUAAUACCCCAUAGAUCAAUAGAAUCGCAUGGUUUAAUUGGUAAAGAUUUAUCGGCAUAAGAUGAGCAUGCGUCUGAUUAGCUAGUUGGUAGGGUAACGGCCUACCAAGGCGACGAUCAGUAGGGGUUCUGAGAGGAUUACCCCCCACACUGGUACUGAGACACGGACCAGACUCCUACGGGAGGCAGCAGUGAGGAAUAUUGGUCAAUGGGCGCAAGCCUGAACCAGCCAUCCCGCGUGAAGGAUGAAUGCCUUAUGGGUUGUAAACUUCUUUUGUACCANAANAAAACCCCUGACGUGUCAGGGUUUGCCGGUAUGGUACGAAUAAGCAUCGGCUAACUCCGUGCCAGCAGCCGCGGUAAUACGGAGGAUGCAAGCGUUAUCCGGAUUUAUUGGGUUUAAAGGGUGCGCAGGUGGCUUUGUAAGUCAGUGGUGAAAGUCUGCCGCUUAACGGUAGGAUUGCCAUUGAUACUGCGGAGCUUGAGUUUGGAUGAGGUAGGCGGAAUGAGUANUGUAGCGGUGAAAUGCAUA